RNAcentral lists this ribosomal RNA (491 nucleotides) under Pseudomonas sp. CL1.56. RNAcentral describes it as "bacterial SSU rRNA". It matches the Rfam family "Bacterial small subunit ribosomal RNA", at positions 16 to 500 of the family's 1533-position model. Lineage: Bacteria; Pseudomonadati; Pseudomonadota; Gammaproteobacteria; Pseudomonadales; Pseudomonadaceae. The record is from RNAcentral.
CCCAUGGCUCAGAUUGAACGCUGGCGGCAGGCCUAACACAUGCAAGUCGAGCGGCAGCACGGGUACUUGUACCUGGUGGCGAGCGGCGGACGGGUGAGUAAUGCCUAGGAAUCUGCCUGGUAGUGGGGGAUAACGCUCGGAAACGGACGCUAAUACCGCAUACGUCCUACGGGAGAAAGCAGGGGACCUUCGGGCCUUGCGCUAUCAGAUGAGCCUAGGUCGGAUUAGCUAGUUGGUGAGGUAAUGGCUCACCAAGGCGACGAUCCGUAACUGGUCUGAGAGGAUGAUCAGUCACACUGGAACUGAGACACGGUCCAGACUCCUACGGGAGGCAGCAGUGGGGAAUAUUGGACAAUGGGCGAAAGCCUGAUCCAGCCAUGCCGCGUGUGUGAAGAAGGUCUUCGGAUUGUAAAGCACUUUAAGUUGGGAGGAAGGGCAUUUACCUAAUACGUAAGUGUUUUGACGUUACCGACAGAAUAAGCACCGGCUAA